This 314-nucleotide long non-coding RNA is filed under the name Mytilus galloprovincialis (Mediterranean mussel). Lineage: Eukaryota; Metazoa; Mollusca; Bivalvia; Mytilida; Mytilidae. The record is from RNAcentral.
CGGGCAUAUACAACUUGUAAACUGUUGUAGGAUGAAUUUUUGUAAAAGAUAAUAUGACUGGAGAAUUUCAUAUAAGGUAUCAAAAGCCCUCUCCUUUUUUUCCAAAGUCCGUUAUGUGUUUCCUUUUUGUUAAAUUCAAUUAUUUUUCGUGUUUCUGGCCUUAUACCACAGUUAUUCUUCCCCUUUGCUACAAUGGAUUUUUUUGGUAAAAGUCAAAUUAAAUUAAAAAUUUGCACCGCUUCAAACAUGAAAUAAAUGAAACUGCUUAUAGACCAUUAUUAUUCUAAUAAAAUGUGCUUCUCAGACAAUUCUUC